UAAACGACUCUCGGCAACGGAUAUCUUGGCUCUCGCAUCGAUGAAGAACGUAGCGAAAUGCGAUACUUGGUGUGAAUUGCAGAAUCCCGUGAACCAUCGAGUCUUUGAACGCAAGUUGCGCCCGAAGCCUUCUGGCUGAGGGCACGCCUGCCUGGGCGUCACGCA
Molecule: ribosomal RNA, 165 nt
Filed under: Veronica senex
Lineage: Eukaryota; Viridiplantae; Streptophyta; Magnoliopsida; Lamiales; Plantaginaceae
Description: 5.8S ribosomal RNA
Rfam family: 5.8S ribosomal RNA
About the family: 5.8S ribosomal RNA (5.8S rRNA) is a component of the large subunit of the eukaryotic ribosome. It is transcribed by RNA polymerase I as part of the 45S precursor that also contains 18S and 28S rRNA. Functionally, it is thought that 5.8S rRNA may be involved in ribosome translocation.
Source: RNAcentral